RNAcentral lists this microRNA precursor (104 nucleotides) under Canis lupus familiaris (dog). RNAcentral describes it as "mir-8834 microRNA precursor family". It matches the Rfam family "mir-8834 microRNA precursor family". RNAcentral also lists the same sequence under 1 other name. Lineage: Eukaryota; Metazoa; Chordata; Mammalia; Carnivora; Canidae. The record is from Rfam by way of RNAcentral.
AGGAGGAACAACCACAGUGGCGGGACCAGCUCUGAGCCCUGGAUUCAGCCCCCGCAGUAACUACAGAGCUCUCAGCCUGCAGGGCCUGGAGGCUCCGGGGGCGG